CAUCGUGCCCCGCUGCCUCUGUCCUGUGUGGAGAAGCUGGGGCCGGCCGGGGUGGGGCUGAGCUGGGGGGGAAGAAGGGACUCCACCGUGAGUUGCCUGAAUAGAGGAGGCCCCGAGAGGCUGGGUGAGGCACCCCGAAACCAAGCAGGAAAAAUCCCUCCAUGUACAGGUGGUGACUAGCCUUCCCCGCUUGGGAAGCUUCUAGGCUCCUCGGAACUCACUGGUGGGUACACUUUUGCUCUCUCUCUUUUUUUUUUUNAAGAUUUAUUUAUUUAUUUAUGAUAGACAUAGAGAGAGAGAGAAAGAGGCAGAGAUACAGGAGGAGGGAGAAACAGGCUCCAUGCCAGGAGCCCGACGCGGGACUCGAUCCCGGGACUUCAGGAUCGCGCCCUGAGCCAAAGGCAGGCGCUAAACCGCUGAGCCACCCAGGGAUCCCCUUUUGCUCUCUUUUUAACCACUUUCCCGUAGGUAAAGGUGACACCUGUGGAGUUCCUGGAAAGGCUCAUGUGUUGGCUUUCAGAGGCCUCUGGAGGAGAGGACCUGGGGAAAUUUGCCUCUGGGCUCCUCUCGAACUAAGAACAAAAGCCGUCUGGAAGAAAAAUGUCCUCAUGACUGAGAAGCUACCAAGAACCUCGUGUAAGUUUUUUUUUUUUUUUUUUUUUUUUCCUAAACAGGUAUUUAGUUCACUUCACUGUCACAGCAUUCUUAAAAAGUUGUGCGAAACAUAGCAUGUUCAUCAAGUGAAUUCCAUUUUCAGCAUCCUGGGGGAGUUCAUUCUGUUCAGGAACUCUUCAAGGAAAUCCUCUUAAUUGUCACACCUUAGAUAUAGGGCCACCCGCACUUUCUAGGGUGGGGCAGGGAAGCUAUCCGAGAAAGGAUUGCUUCUCUGCUCACACCCAUCCAAGCGCUCAUACUAGUACAGUUUGUACUCACAGACACCCCCACUCACGCCAAAACAGCCCCACAAUGCCCUUCCACACUUGCUGUGCACACAUGCGCAUGCACGCUCUCGCGUGCAGCCUUGUUUCCUGCCAAAGGAGCUGCACACGUGGAGCGGAGCACCAGGAUCUGUUUUCUUCAGGGAACAGCUGUUGCUUAUCUAUUAGAACAUAAAAUUCAGGGUCAGAGGCCUCUGGGGCCCCAGCUCACUCAGCCUGCGGAGAAAGCCUGGUUUCGAAGUUUCUUUAUCUGAAAACUUCCCCUCCAGUUGUUUGUGGAGAACUGGAUUUGGUUUUUUAAAGAUGCUAUACAUAAUUACCCCCAAAUCAAGUCCUGCUAGAAGAGUAGGUUUCCAUUCACUCAUACGACAGGAGUUUUUGGGUUUUUUUGAGGGCCUAUGAAACGACAGGCAUCAUGGUAAGUACCGGGGGUUUAGCAGUGAAUAAGGAGAUGCCGCUUCUGUGCCUGCAGAGCUCAGAGUCUUUGGGAAUUGUCGGUUUUCCAUGGCUGCCGUAACAGACUUGCCUCAAAGGUAGGGCUUUAUUUUAUCCUAUUUUUAAAAAGGAUUUGUUUAUUUAUUUGAGAGAGAGAGACAGCGAGAGAGAGAGCACAAGCAGAGGGAGAGGCAGAAGCAGGCUCCCCGCCGAGCAGGGAGCCUGAUACCCAUGUGGGCUCCACCCCAGGAUCCUAAGAUAAUGACCGGAGCCAAAGGCAGCCGCUUAACCAACUGAGCCACCCAGGUGCCCCUCGGAGGUAGGGCUUUAAAGCCCAUAUUUAGUGUCUUAUAGC
This is a long non-coding RNA of Vulpes vulpes (red fox), 1728 nucleotides long. Lineage: Eukaryota; Metazoa; Chordata; Mammalia; Carnivora; Canidae. The record is from Ensembl.